GAUGAACGCUGGCGGCGUGCCUAAUACAUGCAAGUCGAGCGAAUGGAUUGAGAGCUUGCUCUUAUGAAGUUAGCGGCGGACGGGUGAGUAACACGUGGGUAACCUGCCCAUAAGACUGGGAUAACUCCGGGAAACCGGGGCUAAUACCGGAUAACAUUUUGAACCGCAUGGUUCGAAAUUGAAAGGCGGCUUCGGCUGUCACUUAUGGAUGUACCCGCGUCGCAUUAGCUAGUUGGUGAGGUAACGGCUCACCAAGGCAACGAUGCGUAGCCGACCUGAGAGGGUGAUCGGCCACACUGGGACUGAGACACGGCCCAGACUCCUACGGGAGGCAGCAGUAGGGAAUCUUCCGCAAUGGACGAAAGUCUGACGGAGCAACGCCGCGUGAGUGAUGAAGGCUUUCGGGUCGUAAAACUCCGUUGUUAGGGAAGAACAAGUGCUAGUUGAAUAAGCUGGCACCUUGACGGUACCUAACCAGAAAGCCACGGCUAACUACGUGCCAGCAGCCGCCGUAA
RNAcentral lists this ribosomal RNA (515 nucleotides) under uncultured bacterium. RNAcentral's name for it is "partial 16S ribosomal RNA". It matches the Rfam family "Bacterial small subunit ribosomal RNA", at positions 28 to 523 of the family's 1533-position model. The record is from RNAcentral.